This 27-nucleotide non-coding RNA is filed under the name Cricetulus griseus (Chinese hamster). Lineage: Eukaryota; Metazoa; Chordata; Mammalia; Rodentia; Cricetidae. The record is from RNAcentral.
AUAUUUAAUCCUGGACCUUCUGAUCUC